RNAcentral lists this ribosomal RNA (467 nucleotides) under uncultured bacterium. RNAcentral describes it as "partial 16S ribosomal RNA". It matches the Rfam family "Bacterial small subunit ribosomal RNA", at positions 28 to 507 of the family's 1533-position model. The record is from RNAcentral.
GAUGAACGCUGGCGGCGUGCUUAACACAUGCAAGUCGAACGGAAAGGCCCAAGCUUGGUUGGGUACUCGAGUGGCGAACGGGGGAGUAACACGUGGGGGAACUGCCCCGCACUUCGGGAGAAGACUGGGAAAAUGGGGCGAAUACCGGAGAGGACCACUUGAAGGGCGUUGUGGAGGAAAGAAUGUUGGGUGUGGGGUUAGCUCGCGGCCUAUCAGCUUGGUGGUGGGGUAAUGGAAUGCCAAGGUGUUAGCGGGAAGACGGUCUCUGGGGGUGUACGGCCACCCUGGCUCCUACAUGAGGCCCCGACUCCUACUGGUGGCAGCUGUGCGGAAUCUUGCCCAAUCGGCGCCAGCCUGAUGCUGCGACGCCGCGUGUCGUAUGACUGUCUUAUUGUUGUAAACCCCUUUCGCUAGUGACUAAGCGUUUUGUGACGGUACCUGGAGAAAAAGCACCGGCUAACUACGUG